This 1443-nucleotide long non-coding RNA is filed under the name Olea europaea subsp. europaea. Lineage: Eukaryota; Viridiplantae; Streptophyta; Magnoliopsida; Lamiales; Oleaceae. The record is from RNAcentral.
AAAGAGAUGAGGUAAAUGUGUUAUCCUCUACCUUCGAUACAGAAAACGGUGAAGUCUAUGUGAUCACUAGUCCAGUCGCAUACACUACUGAAUUAAAUCUAACUACUAAUUCUCACAUGCAUGAAUGGAUAUUAGAUUCUGGUGCGUCUUUUCAUGUGACAUCUGAAAAGAACUGGUUUGAAAACUUGCAAGAAUCUAAUGAUGGGCAAGUAGUUCUGUGUGAUAACUUUGCCUAUACAAUUGCUGGAAUUGGAGAUAUAAAGAUAAAAUUUAACACAGGCUUUGUGUACAUGUUAAAGGAAGUUAGAUACAUUCCGAAAUUAUUUAGGAAUUUGAUUUCAGUAGGAAGACUUGAGAAAGACAACUUCACCGGUAAAAUUGAAAACGGUAUGUUUAAAAUGAUGAAGGGUGCGUUAAUCUCUAUUAAGGGAAUCAAGAAAAAUGACAUUUACAUCACUACUGGGGAAGUGAUUAGAGGAUUAAACUCCUCUAUUUCUUCCGCCAAAAUAAAAAAGGUGCAUUUGGUAAUGACUGUGUGUCUGACCUAUCGUUCUGUGAUCACUGUGUGCUAAGAAAGCACCAUAGAGUGUCGUUUUCCACCAGUACGCAUAAGGCUAAAAGCAUGCUUGAAUAUGUGCAUUCUGAUCUGUGGGGUCCUGCUAGUAAUCCCACAUCGAGUGGGAAUAGGUAUUUCCUAUCUAUCAUAGAUGACUACACUAGGAAAGUGUGAGUCUAUCUAUUGAAAGACAAAACUGAAACCUUCCAUAACUUUAACAAUUGGAAGAAACAAAUGGAAAAUCAAACUAGAAAGAGGAUCAAAUUUUUAAGGGCAGAUAACGGCCUAGAAUUCUGUAAUGCUAAAUUCGAUAGGAUGUGUAAAGAAAGUGGAAUAACAAGGUACAAAACGGUUCCUUAUACUCCCCAGCAAAACGGAGUAGCAGAAAGAAUGAAUAGGACCAUACUAGACAAAGUGCGCUGCAUGAUGUUAAGUUCUAGGGUUCCUAAGUCAUUUUGGGGUGAAGCCGUUGUCACUGCCUGUUAUCUAAUAAAUUUGACUCCAUCGGCUGCAUUAAAUGGUGAUACUCCACAUGAGAAAUGGUUUGAAAAAUUGGGUGACUACUCAAUGCUUAAAGUGUUUAGCUGUGCUGCCUUUUCUCAUCAAAGUGAGGGAAAGUUAGAACCUAGAGCCAGGAAGUGUGUCUUUCUAGGAUAUCCCGAACGGGUUAAGGGCUAUAGGCUAUGGGAUAGAAGCCAAAAAGGAGUUAAGAUCAUCGUGAGUAGGGAUGUCACAUUUAAUGAGAAUGAGAUGCAUUGUCUAAAGAACGAAACCGAACCUGUAAGUGAAACUGAAUCAAGUGAAGAAAGAAAUCGGUUUAAGGUGGAGUUAGGAAAAUUUAACACAUCAGUACCUAGUACUUCGAGUGAGGUGGAGAUUCAGGUCCA